Molecule: ribosomal RNA, 253 nt
Filed under: uncultured bacterium
Lineage: Bacteria
Description: partial 16S ribosomal RNA
Rfam family: Bacterial small subunit ribosomal RNA
Source: RNAcentral
UACGUAGGGAGCAAGCGUUGUCCGGAAUCAUUGGGCGUAAAGCGCGCGUAGGUGGCUUCGUAAGUCCGUUGUGAAAGUCAAAGGCUCAACCUUUGAAAGCCGAUGGAUACUGUGGAGCUAGAGUACGGAAGAGGCGAGUGGAAUUCCUGGUGUAGCGGUGGAAUGCGCAGAUAUCAGGAGGAACACCAAUAGCGAAGGCGAAUCUCUGGACAGUUACUGACACUGAGGCACGAAGGCCAGGGGAGCAAACGGG